This 3244-nucleotide long non-coding RNA is filed under the name Oreochromis niloticus (Nile tilapia). Its description in RNAcentral is "lncRNA (ENSONIG00000041274.1)". Lineage: Eukaryota; Metazoa; Chordata; Actinopteri; Cichliformes; Cichlidae. The record is from RNAcentral.
CGAAAAUAAGAAUUACAUCAUUCUUGAAUCCAACAAUAAGAAAAGAAAGAUGAGGUUCAUAAUCUUGUUCAUAAUCUUUAUCUCAGUAGGAUCUAACGAUUCCGGGCAUGAAAGUGGUGCUGGAAUUUACGGAUCCAGCUUUAAGUUCUUGUGACGUUGCAUCUGAAUGGAGCAAAACAUUUGAAGGCUGAGGUAUGCUGGAAAUCGGUAUCUACAUUCCACAUGACAAGUGUUUUUUUUGCAAGCCUUAGAAACCAAUGUUGUUGUCACUCUUAGGCAACCACAUUGGUCGUGUGUGCACCCAACCUUCUUAGGUGUGGCUGAGCCUAUAUAUAUCAGCCACACCUGCACUGUCUUCACUUUCAGGUCAAUCAGAUUCAAUUAAAAGGGUCCAAAAUGCUCCUAUUUUGGGUUCUAGAAUUUGCUUUAGCGGUUUUCGCUUGUGAGCCCAUAGGAGAUACUGAUGCAGCCUGUAGAAACGACUGUUACCGAAAAGACUGUGAUGGAACAGUGUAUGACAUCCAAGAGGCUACUUGCUGUGAAAACAAACUUCACCCAGGUGCAAGUUUGUCUUGUUGUGGAAAUGAGCCUUACAAUCCUGAAACAGCCACUUGUUGUAAACACAAUCUCACAGCCAGUGUUACUCAGGGUCUGAGUGAAAAGGUGUCCAAGUGCUGUGACCUGAAGGCCUACAACCCAGUCAAUGAAAUGUGUUGUCAAUCAACCAUCAUAUCAAAACCUGGACCAAUGGCUGAAUGCUGUGUUAAAGAUGUUUUUGAUGAGGACAAGCAGUUGUGUUGUGGUCCAGCUGAUAAUAAGACAAUUCUGGUGAGGAAUUCCCGUCACCAUGAGUGCUGUGGUCACAGCCAGUACGACACUGAGACUCAGUGCUGCUGUUCAAAUGAGGAGAAGAUGGAGAUACAAUCGAAGGAUUCAUCCUGCUGUGUCAAGAAUUUCACUCCAGGCCUUUCAAGUGGAAAUACCACCUUCAACAAACCUUCACCAAAGCAUGGAUAUUGUGGUGAAGGUAUGAAACAGCAGAUAUUCAAGCUCCAACCCAAAUGCACUGAACCAAACACACAUCUCUGUGGGUCGUCGUGUUACAAUCCAAAGCAAAAUCGCUGCUGUGAGAGUAACCACGAGCCUCACUCACUUGACAACUCAGGUCAAAGGAAGGCCACAGCCACCGUGUACAACCCACAUACUCAGGUCUGCUGUGAUGGACGUGUAUCUCCGUGGAAGCCUUGGAUCGAUCAGUGCUGUGGAGAGACGCCGUAUGGCUCGGCACAACGUGGAGCUCUGUCUUGUAAUAAGACCUUGUACGAGGACAGAUAUGAUGGAGAGGAAUGUUCAGAGAUGGGUAUUCCUUACAACCCGGCUAAAGGGACCAUAUGUUGUUCUCAGUUUCAUGGCAGCCCAGGACAACACUGCUGUGGGACAGAAAUUUACCGGCCUCGUACUGAGAUCUGCUGCAAUGGACACAGACAUCUGAAAUCAGAAAACAUUCACUGCUGUGGGGUCAAAGCCUACAACAUUAAAGACCCACAGAUGAAGUGCUGUGCAGGAACACUGUACAAUCUGACAUCAUUAGACAAGCAUGGAGGGGAUGCGCAGUGCUGUGGAUCCAUUCUGCAAAAGCCACAGGACAUUUGCUGCUCAAGUGAGGACAAAGAGGUGCUCUACUCUGCCGAAAUAGGGUUCAGAUGCUGUGGUCACCUUUACUAUAACACCACCCUGUGGUCAUGCUGUGCUGGGGGGCUGAGAAGAAUCCGUGAACCAGGACAGGAUCAGAGAAAGAUGAUUAAUGGAUCCAGACUUCUAUCUGUGAAUAAUCUGAACAAAAUCGAUCUUUGCAAAGAAAUGCACAUUGGGACUGUGGAAAGUGUGUCGCUGCAGAGCAUUGUGUUCAGGAGUGUGCUGAAGGUCCAUGGGAUGGAGGCCAAAGUGAAAGCUCUGCCAUUCCCUUACAUCCUGGAAAGAGAUGAUCGCUGCAGCUCCCCUAAACUGAUUGCUGGGAAGACCUACUACUUUAACAAAGUUAAUGUUUUCAUUGAUUUCAAUCAUGACUCUGUUCUUCAGUCACUCCAUUUCAUUAUUUGCAAAUGUUCAUCUCAGGUCACCACUGGCUGAUGUAUACAUGGUCAGUGUGGAUCUGUUGCUCCCUUCUUUGAACAAGUUCUCUUUUUUCACAUAUUUACUCACAGUGUUGGCUUUGUCACACAGAAAAUUAAUUAAUUACACAUCACAUUAUACUGGUUAACAUUAUUUUACAAAGUAAUUUGUUACCAUAUUUAUUACAGAGUACUUGUUGCAUUGCAACCUAAUAUACUCACCCCAAAUUACUCUCUGAUGCACCCAUCACAGUGUGAAUGUUUGCUUGAACUUAAACACAGAAAGAAGUCGUUGUAUGAAUGUGUGAAUGAGGGACGUUGUAUCAAGCGCUUUGAGUGCUCAGGUAGGGUAGAAAAGUGUUAUAUAGAAGAACCUGUCCAUUUAUCAGUAGUAUACAAUACUUCACAUGAUAUGUUGUUUAUACAUUACUCUGCCUAUGUCCAGCCAAACCAUGUUGCUCUGUUGUUAACACAUCCCAAGAUGUCUUAUCACAGACAGAAUUUAGGUACUUUAAGUAAAGAAAACAAAAAACAAUGUAGCUUUUAACUUCAGUUUUACAGGGACUCACAUUGUAGUGAUUCACACAACUUGACAUUAAUCAAUACUGUAACACAGUAAGCUGGUGCACAAUGUUGUUUCUCAAAUCUAAAUUUGAACAAAAUCUAAAUGUAACUUUGAUUCUUGCACUGAUCUAAAAUACAAGGGACAACUGUGUGCACAUGUCCUUGAACCAUACAAUUCAAUACUUGUGGUAAAGUCCAUGAUUUACUGUGAUUGUUAAUUCUAAUGAAUGAUAAACACUUAAUGCCAAUAUCAUGAAUACAAAUAUGUUAGAAGGACCCACUAAAAAUUCCAUUAGUUUCUGUUUCUUUGAAUGUGAUUCAUGUAAAAUAGUUAAUGGUAAGGAUAGGUAUGGGAAUUUAAGAAUGGUAAGGAAUCUAGUAAGGACUUGAGGGACAUUUAAGCUAUAAGCAAACAUAAACACUGCCUGCUUGAUUUAGUGACUUUGUUGUUAAUAUAAUAUAUUGCAUAUAUAUAUUGUAAAUGUUUAAUAUUUGAAUGGACCUAUUAUCCUUUAAGGAUUCAAAUAAAUAAAUACAAACACUUAUUAAACCUGCUGUGUUUUCUCUUG